CCUACGGGUGGCAGCAGUGAGGAAUAUUGGUAAAUGGACGAGAGUCUGAACCAGCCAAGUAGCGUGAAGGAUGACUGCCCUAUGGGUUGUAAACUUCUUUUAUAUGGGAAUAAAACGUUCCACGUGUGGGAUUUUGUAUGUACCAUAUGAAUAAGGAUCGGCUAACUCCGUGCCAGCAGCCGCGGUAAUACGGAGGAUCCGAGCGUUAUCCGGAUUUAUUGGGUUUAAAGGGAGAGUAGGUGGAUUGUUAAGUAAGUUGUGAAAGUUUGCGGCUCAACCGGAAAAUUGCAGUUGAAACUGGCAGUCUUGAGUACAGUAGAGGUGGGCGGAAUGCGUGGUGUAGCGGUGAAAUGCUUAGAUAUCACGAAGAACUCCGAUUGCGAAGGCAGUUCACUGGACUGCAACUGACACUGAGGCUCGAAAGUGUGGGUAUCAAACAGGAUUAGAUACCCCUGUAGUC
This 460-nucleotide ribosomal RNA is filed under the name uncultured bacterium. RNAcentral's name for it is "partial 16S ribosomal RNA". It matches the Rfam family "Bacterial small subunit ribosomal RNA", at positions 338 to 795 of the family's 1533-position model. The record is from RNAcentral.